GAUGAACGCUGGCGGCAGGCUUAACACAUGCAAGUCGAGCGGAGCGAGGGUGCUUGCACCUUAGCUUAGCGGCGGACGGGUGAGUAAUGCUUAGGAAUCUGCCUAUUAGUGGGGGACAACAUUCCGAAAGGGAUGCUAAUACCGCAUACGCCCUACGGGGGAAAGCAGGGGAUCUUCGGACCUUGCGCUAAUAGAUGAGCCUAAGUCGGAUUAGCUAGUUGGUGGGGUAAAGGCCUACCAAGGCGACGAUCUGUAGCGGGUCUGAGAGGAUGAUCCGCCACACUGGGACUGAGACACGGCCCAGACUCCUACGGGAGGCAGCAGUGGGGAAUAUUGGACAAUGGGGGGAACCCUGAUCCAGCCAUGCCGCGUGUGUGAAGAAGGCCUUUUGGUUGUAAAGCACUUUAAGCGAGGAGGAGGCGCUCUAGGCUAAUACCCUAGAUGCGUGGACGUUACUCGCAGAAUAAGCACCGGCUAACUCUGUGCCAGCAGCCGCGGUAAUACAGAGGGUGCGAGCGUUAAUCGGAUUUACUGGGCGUAAAGCGCGCGUAGGUGGCUAAUUAAGUCAAAUGUGAAAUCCCCGAGCUUAACUUGGGAAUUGCAUUCGAUACUGGUUAGCUAGAGUAUGGGAGAGGAUGGUAGAAUUCCAGGUGUAGCGGUGAAAUGCGUAGAGAUCUGGAGGAAUACCGAUGGCGAAGGCAGCCAUCUGGCCUAAUACUGACACUGAGGUGCGAAAGCAUGGGGAGCAAACAGGAUUAGAUACCCUGGUAGUCCAUGCCGUAAACGAUGUCUACUAGCCGUUGGGGCCUUUGAGGCUUUAGUGGCGCAGCUAACGCGAUAAGUA
This 844-nucleotide ribosomal RNA is filed under the name Acinetobacter indicus. RNAcentral's name for it is "bacterial SSU rRNA". It matches the Rfam family "Bacterial small subunit ribosomal RNA", at positions 28 to 866 of the family's 1533-position model. The record is from RNAcentral. Lineage: Bacteria; Pseudomonadati; Pseudomonadota; Gammaproteobacteria; Moraxellales; Moraxellaceae.